CGCCGCGACCCGAGCCCGGGGAGCCCGGGGAGCCCGGGGAGCCCGGGAGCCGCGGCCGCCGCACACAAAGGCGCGGCCACGCGAGCCGCGGGAGAGCGGGAGGCGGCCCGGGGGACGCGCCCCGCCGGGGCACCGAGGCAGCGCUGCGCGCGGGCCGUGCGCCCGGGGCGCGGGGCGCGGCGCGGGGGCCCGGGCGGCGCGGCGAGUUCAGGUGCGCGGGGCGAGGCUGGGACGGCGGCGGCGGCGGCUGGCCCCGCUCCUCCUCCUCCUCCCGGGCGGACUGAGCAGAGGAGCGGCGGAGACAAGGGGCCCGGCCCCUCCCCUCCUUCCCCCCUCCUGCUCCGCCGCCGGUCCCCUCCCCGCGCCGCCGCCGCUCCGCCCCUCCCACCGCGGGCAGCUGGCGCGCCGCCCGCCCCGCCGGUGCGCUCCCCGGCCCGGCCCGCCCCCGGGCGCGCCGACCCCGCCCCGGCCCGCCCCGGCCCGCCCCGCCCCGCCGCGGCCCCUGCCCCGCGCCCCGCGCCCCGCGCCCCGCGCCCCGCGCAGCCCGGCAGCGCCCGUCGCGCGCGCCGCGGCUCCCCCUCCCGGGCCCCUCUGCUCCCCACCUCGCCCCCCUCCCUCCCUCCCGGUCCUCUUUGUCCCCGAUGCCUCGGAGCGCUCCUCGCUCCCUUCCAAGCCUCGGCCGCCGGCCCGGUGCCCGGUGUGGCCCUCCCAGCCCCCCUGCCGCGCCCCGCGGCGCCCGGCCCCCGGCUCCCGUCGCGGCGUCCCCUCGCCGUCCGCUCCCUUGCCGCCCCUCGCCCCGUUUGUCCCUCGUGGGGCCGGCCCCCGGCCCGCCUGCCCUCCGCCGCCCUCCCGCGCGAAUGGCCCCUGCUCGGCGGCACCUCCCCGGCAGCCAGCCCGCGGGAGGGCCUCCCGGGGGCCGGGGCCGGGCCCCCAGGUACACCUGUGGUGUUCUCCAGGAGGGGUGUUGGGGCCUGACCUUUCACAGUAGGCUCUCCAGCGUGGUGACACCUGCGUAUGUACCUUCACCCAAGAUUACGUUUCUGGAACCAAGCAGGAAAAAUAAACGUCAAUUAGGUGAAAGUGUGUGUAUUUGCUCUUCUCUUAGCCGAAACGUGUGUUUGGAUACCGCCGGAGAGAGCGGUGUGUAUUCAGGGAAGGAACAACUGUUCACAUUGUCCCUGGGUUGA
Molecule: long non-coding RNA, 1187 nt
Filed under: Canis lupus familiaris (dog)
Lineage: Eukaryota; Metazoa; Chordata; Mammalia; Carnivora; Canidae
Description: lncRNA (ENSCAFG00040012190.1)
Source: RNAcentral